ACGUUUUGCUGGAGUGGGCUGGAGAGAGGUAAAAAUAAAUCGUUAGGUCCAGAUAUACCCCCACUGUAUGACGUCAGCCUCGACAUCACCCCGGGUACCCUGCUUGGCGUCGUCGGACUCGUAGGAAGCGGAAAGUCUGCGCUGCUGGCGGCCAUACUGGGUGAGCUGCGGCGGCUUCGUGGAACCGCGCACGUUGGGGUAGGGAUGGCGUACCUACCGCAGACGGCCUGCAUCUUCAACAUGUCCAUCCGUGACAACGUGCUUUUCGGAAGGCCCAUGGAACCAUACCGAUACCACUGUGUGCUCGAAGCGUGCGACCUGACUUCGAGACCUCGAGCUCCUACCGGCCGGUGACCUCACCGAAGUGGGAGAGAAGGGAGAUACGCUAAGUGGAGGGCAGAAGCAGCGGGUGGCUCUGGCGCGAGCCGUGUACAGUGACAGCGACAUCUACCUCAUAGACGACACCCUCAGUGCUUUGGAUGUGCAUGUAGCUGCGGAGGUGUUUGCACGGGUGAUCGGACCCGAGGGCCUUCUUAG
Dermacentor silvarum is the source of this 537-nucleotide long non-coding RNA. RefSeq lists it as uncharacterized. Lineage: Eukaryota; Metazoa; Arthropoda; Arachnida; Ixodida; Ixodidae. The record is from RefSeq and is a predicted model, not a curated record. The transcript is spliced from 3 exons.